This 662-nucleotide ribosomal RNA is filed under the name Hyphopichia burtonii. Its description in RNAcentral is "eukaryotic LSU rRNA". It matches the Rfam family "Eukaryotic large subunit ribosomal RNA", at positions 1 to 668 of the family's 3401-position model. The record is from RNAcentral. Lineage: Eukaryota; Fungi; Ascomycota; Pichiomycetes; Serinales; Debaryomycetaceae.
UGCAUAUCAAUAAGCGGAGGAAAAGAAACCAACCGCGGAUUGCCUUUGCAUAUCAAUAAGCGGAGGAAAAGAAACCAACAGGGAUUGCCUCAGUAACGGCGAGUGAAGCGGCAAAAGCUCAAAUUUGGAAUCUCAGUCUUUCAGGCUGCGAGUUGUAAUUUGAAGACGUAUUUUGAAGUAAGCACAUGUCGAAGUUCCUUGGAACAGGACGUCACAGAGGGUGAGAAUCCCGUGCGAUGUGUUCACUGCUUCAUGUAAAAUGCAGUCGAAGAGUCGAGUUGUUUGGGAAUGCAGCUCUAAGUGGGUGGUAAAUUCCAUCUAAAGCUAAAUAUUGGCGAGAGACCGAUAGCGAACAAGUACAGUGAUGGAAAGAUGAAAAGAACUUUGAAAAGAGAGUGAAAAAGUACGUGAAAUUGUUGAAAGGGAAGGGCUUGAGAUCAGACUCGGGCAACCGGGCCAGCAUGGGGUGGGGGAGUAGGAUAACCCUGCAGGAAAGUGGCUUCGCUUGGGUGGAGUGUUAUAGCCUGUAGCUAUGCUGCUACCCUCACCCGAGGCCUGCGGAAACAAGGAUGCUGGCAUAAUGAUCUUAAGCCGCCCGUCUUGAAACACGGACCAGAUGCUGGCAUAAUGGUUAUAUGCCGCCCGUCUUGAAACACGGACCA